Molecule: non-coding RNA, 7858 nt
Organism: Anas platyrhynchos (mallard)
Lineage: Eukaryota; Metazoa; Chordata; Aves; Anseriformes; Anatidae
Source: RefSeq, a predicted model, not a curated record
AAAAAAGGCAAUACAUUUUUCACUGUGACGAAUCAUCAUUCUCCAGCCUGCCCAACCUGUACGUGCGCUACAUGCAGGCAGUGUAACGCUGUCUCAUGGAGGCGCUUGUUCAGGAGUGACAAUGGAAGUCUAAUCCAGAGCACAGUGAUGGUUUUGGUCUGAAACACACUCCUACCUACAUAAGGAAAUUUCACCACAAAAUACCUAUCUGAGCUGUUGCCCAUUGUAGAUAGGUGGAUAUCUGGCACCUUCUGCACUUUUGCCAUUGAGGUGGCUGUGAUAGCAAAGGCUUCUCCACUCUUAGCAAGGAAUUGCUUUCACAUCAGACAUCCCUCUAGGUCUCCUGUGUAAACAGGACUGAAAGCUAAACCAUCUAUAUUCUCAGUAUUUCCCUGAAUCCAAAUUCUGGAGGAACGAAGGGUUAAAAACAUUUAAAGCAUUAAGAAAAAAGUCUUAUUAAUUAAAAAUGAAUGAAACCCAUCUUAAGCCUCUUUGGCUUUAGCUAUGCUGAGAAAAAACAUCACUGAAUCAACUCAUAACUUGCAGAAAAUGCAGUUGCAUUUAAUGACAUGGUAGCUUGUCACAAAUUUCUGCCCUUGCCCAUUCCAAGGACAAAAUGAAGUUUAAUGUUGUGAUAGUUAGAAAGCAUUUUACCUCAUACAUUUUAACGCUGCAUUUUCCCAGCGUAGUGUUGGGCUUAGUUAUUCUAAUUUUAUCUUCAGUAAUGGGUUCCUAAUUUUAUUGUUGCGGCUGUUGCUCCCUCAGGGCAUUUGGAAAUGAGAAUCAGCAUUUAAAAAAACACCUUAGCUAUAACAGACUUUUAAUAAUGAAAUCAAUGAAAGGAGUAUUCCUGACUAUAAAUCCUGAACACUUUAAGAAGGACACAUGAAGCAUCAUUACCAUUUGUUUAGUGCUGAGUUUUCCAGCCCUGUUGCAUUUAACCACGUUUUUGUCCUGAGGAUAUUCUGCCCAGAUCUGCCAAACCCCAUUCAGAAGGGCUGGUGCAUGACAUUUUUUUUUUUCAACCAAAACAUUCGUCAGAUGUGGCAGAGUCCAGGAAACCUUUUGAAAUAACAGAGGAUUGUGGUAACCAGUGUAGAAUUGUGGCAUUAUGACCAAGAAGCUGCUUUGAAGUAACAGCAGGCCUUUCCUCUGACACAGAAAUAGGUGCAAUUUUUCCAUCACUUCUGUGGGAAAGUUGGUGACACCAGAUGUAGGAGGAAGCAUGUCUAUGGCUAGGUGGGACUCUGGGUUUCCAGCAGCUCUCUUCAAAAAGGUGAUCAGUGUCUCUGUAUGUGUGCGCCCCUGGGAGAUGGGCUUUUCUCCUGGGAAAAGUCUCUGGGUCUCCUCACUGGCUGCAGCUUUUCUGCUCUGUCUGCCCUGUGCCUCCCCAGCACCUGUGUCUCAACCACUGAUGGCAUUUGGAGGUAAAAGGAAAGCCUUGGUGCCACAGCUCUGGGAUGGCCAGGUGCUCUCUUCCUCUGCUGCCCUUCUCCACAUCAGCAGGGACCAUCAGCAAAGGUGUCUGUGGGCCCCACGUCUGCAGACUUCUCAAUUCCCAUGUCUGUAGAUUACUCAAGUAGGAUAAUGUGUUUAAAAAAGGAUUAUCUUGCUGGCUCUUGUUUGCCAAAUAUCAGCCUGGAGCAAGUUUUUACAGCUGAGUUGCAAUGGCCUGAUAGCAGUGUUUAUGAUAGAAAUUCUGCCAGCUAUUUAAUGCCAGGAACGCGCUGGUCGCUUAGUCACUGGAAGACUUUGUUGUCAGAAUGACAUUUUUUUUUUUUUCAGAUGGGAAUAUGUUUGGUGAAUAUUGCUUGGUGCUUCUAAGAGCAAAGGCUCCAGCUGGUUAGUGGUUAGCCAGCCCCACGGGCACUGCUUGCAAACGCCCCAUGCAGCUCUGCCAGGAACAAUAGCGGCUAAUGCUUGCGCAGCACUUCUCCUCGUCAGGCUGAUCACAGCGGUGGUGGCACCCGCGCUGCACAAAGCUGUGGGUGCUGCAGAGCUGCCACCACAGCUGUCUGGUAGUACAGGGCAGGAAGGGGAUGGUGGGGUGCAGGACAUAUGCUGCCCAUCGCUCCUGUGUGUUGCGUGAAGAAGAACAGCGCAUCCCAGAAAAGGCACUCAGCACUUACCAGGGCUAGCUACCGCACUGUGCCCACCUGGAGGUAGGAAUCCUCUAUCCUAUGGACAAGCAUGUCUUGGGAUAUUUUACAUGGGAAAUAUGGCCUUGAAGUACCACAGCUAUGGCUUCCUAAACUCUUUUUUUACUGCUCUUCAUGUCACAGAAUCAGAGAGUGGGGAUUUGUUCCUUUAAGGCAAUUUUUUUUUUUUUUUGAUUUCUCAUCUGAUUUCUCACACUUGGAGCACUUCUGGGUAAAGAAUACCAAAUAUGCAAAAUUAUAUAGUGCUUCUACAGUGGAGUUACUAAGCCCCAUUCAAUCUUGUGCCCUUGAGCAAAAAUUAAAAAAAAAAUAAUGACAAGGCAACCUCAUGGCAGUGGACUUUGCCCUCGUGGAAUUGCAGGAUAACCUUUCUGUGGAUAUGCCCUUGGGAGAUACUGAGAGCCAACAGCCUCACAUGUUGGUAUGGACAAAAGCUACCUAGAAUCUAGAUUAAAAGGAAAAUGCGUUUGCUGAGCUGCUCUGGGUAACACAACAGCUCCUACACCAAUGUGUUUGUUGUCAUUGGCCUGGUACGAGCAGCAGGGUUUGUUCAGCUCAUACUCAGUCAUAUAAAAGAACAUGAAAAAUGACACUGUGAUCCAAGACCACGGAGCUUCAGGUUACGUGGUACAUUGCCUGCUUUCAGUUAAGCUCAAUUCAAAGGAAAUUAUUGCCAGUUGUGUUUCAUUAGUGUAUUGAAAAAAAGGCUGCGUUUAUGUUUUCCAGAAAGUUGCUGAAUCACAUCACUGUGCAGAAUAUGUUCCUCAAAUUGUGUCUCUCCAGUAAUGCAAGGAGGAAAAAAAAAAAAAAAAAAAAAAAGGCAAACCCAUAUCAAGACAUGAAACCCUUUACAUGGGUUUUACAAUAAAAAUAAUGCCACCUUUAUUUAAAGCCUUGUGUUGCAGUGCCUGGGAGUUGAAGGGCAUAGAGUGUUCCUCUUCUGUUCCACUGCUUCAUGACCCUUGCUUAACUAUUUAUGCUGCAAUCCUAAAACCUGCUCUUGCUCCCCAGGAGACAAACACUGAAGUAUUAUUAGACCUUAGCUGCGUGGGGGGGAGCUCUUAGUAUAAUUUUAAUGUAUAAAUAUUGUAUGCUCUGUGCCUGUUAAGUUUUACAGACACACAAGUUAGCUGGUGCACACUCUGGUGGCCAGUCUUUCUGCAGAGGGAGCUCACAGGUAUGCCACAGCAGCUGUCUAUUGCUUAGGGGGGAUGAAAUUCUUCUAAAUCAAGGAAUCACAGAAUCACAGAAUUGUCUAGGUUGGAAGAGACCUAAAGAUCAUAGAGUCCAACCUCUGACUAGCAAGUCCUCCACUAAAAUAUAUCGCUAAGCUCAACAUCUAAACAUCUUUUAAAGACCUCCAGGGAAAUCUCCAUCCUGCAAUGUGCAGAGAGAAGGCUGGGAUGGGACAGGCCAAUGACUGCAGAAGAGGGAAAUCACAGCAAUUUUUGACUCCUUGCUGGGCUCAGGUGUGAACUUGAAGAUGUGUGCAGGAGGAAAAGAAGGCAGAUGGGCAGCUGCAGCCCUCUUGCCCAUGCCCUGGGCAAGUAGGUGUUGCUGCUGCCCCUCCUCUUUGCAGGGUAACUCGAUCUAGCCCUAGGACUGCUCCCUAAGACAUUUUCAUCCUCUGUCUUUGGCUGUCCUUCUCUCAGGGUUAUCACAAGCUGAAAACGGCUGUCACUCAGGAAAACCGGGCGACAUGCUCCCUCUAUUGGCUUUUCUGGUUGUUGCUCUCAUGAGCUGGCUGUUCAGGGGAUCAGAGCCACAUGCAGGCUUUGAAGGGCGGUGAAAACUCGUCUGACCUUGUUCUGUGUUGAGCACUAUUGGAAAUCUGCUGCAGCGAAGUUUAUGUACUUAUGUCACUUAGGACACAAAUGAAUUGCUUUAACUCAAGCUUAAAAGCAAAACCCUGCCAAAGAUGACAAAUCUAUAUACCACCAGUUAAAUGACUAAUGAUUUAUUUGUCUGUGAAGCUUCUGGUGAAAGCUGAAGCAUAAUGAAAGAAAAAAUAAUAAGAGGCAAUCCCCACAAACAGCAGAAUGAGCAAAUUUCCUGUGUAUGAGCCGGGGCAACAUCAGAGCGGGAUGUGCAGAGCAGCUGGUGUGGCUGUUUGGGCCACUCGGCAGGACCAAGAGGACCACGCUCCGCGCUGGCUGCAGGGCAGAGGAGGGAGCUGCCAGCAGCCACCUCUGGUAUCAGACUUACGCAAAUCAAACCAUGUCACUGCUGCAUAGAAAAUACCCACAUUUCUUUCUUGAAUUGAUGAGAGGAGCACUGCAGAUGUGAGGACGUGGACAAAAGUAGCCAGUAUUUCCUCUCCUCUCUACAUGCUAAUCAGCCAUGCUAAUGGGACACUGGCUAAUCCCUCUGGCUUUUGAAUUGAGAAAAGAAAUGCUCCUCUUCCCAGUAACUAAUGAAUCAUCCCUUUUAGUACAUGGCAUGCACGACUGCAUUGUUAAAAGCAGUCUUAAUCACUCACUGAGAAAAAUGAUAUUGAUCAUUUCUCCCUUUUAGAGAUGUUGUUAACUGUAAGCCUCGGGAACUCUGACUCACACUCGCUGUGUGCUGCAGCAAGCCCAGAAUGACUACAGUAGAUUUGUAGCUAGUUAUAGAAGCCCCCUGAGUCUUAUUCUUUGUGUCUUCCUAGUAUGGCUAUAAUGUUGAAAGAUGCUAGAUUUCUUGGCUUUGUACCUUUCUAGGGAUCUCUGGUCUGCAGACAGAUUUGGACUGAACUUUACACCAAAGUUCGAAGAGGGGAUGUACUUUUGGUAGGCAACUGACUUCUAAUGAGAACAGAGCAGAGCAGUUCCUGAACGGGAGGAACGGUACACUCCAUUUUGCCUUUCGUUCUGCACAUCUGAUGGACAAGCUACACGUACAGCAGUUCAUCCUGCUUUAUGAGCAUAGGACUAUGUAUCAACAAGACAGUGGAACGAGGAAGAAGAUUUAAUAAGCGUACAUUUAAAAGUCCUUGACAGCUUCCUGGAAAGAGGCUGAAUGGUUAUGAAGUGAGAAAUACAUUCUGUUGUUGUCUAGGAAUUGCCAAUGGCAGAGCAAACAAAGUAAAUAGAGAAAAACUUUUCAACCUGAUCGAAAAAAAUGUAUCUGUUGUUGUUUCAAGUAUAGACAGAUGUACUGAUAGAGGUACCUGUGUACUCCUUGCAUAGAAAAUACCACACUGAAAGACUGAAGAUUGUUACCAAAGUCAAAUGGUCAAGUUUUCAGCUGUUGGGGAAAGCAGGAAUCAAGACAGCCCACAUCCUCUUAAAUCAGCCCUUUUGUGCACGUAUUUGUAUUAUAUGAGUAUGAUAUGGCUGAAUUAUGUUAUUACAACCAGGUUAUUUAUUAGGACAGGACCUGAACCUGUUAAUUGCUCCACAAAUGCACAGGAAGAUCCGGGGCCUCCACUGGGGGCAUGUAAGGACAGUUCUGACUGUCAGUGCCUGAAAGGAUGCUUGCUGUUACCGAUGCUUUCUGUUAUUUCCCCUAAAUAGCCCUUCUCAUUCACUCUGUGCAGAGACUGCCCCCAUUUGUUGCCCAGUUCUGACACCGAGUGACACGCUGCCAUCCUGCAGGUCCCCGCCGUCCCACUGCUGCCUUCCUCAGCUGCUGGAAAACGCAGCUUGCCUCUGCUGACAGCAGACUCUCAGGAGGCAGGAAGAGGGCUGCCUGAUGGACGUGGUCACUGGAUGGAGGUGUGCUGUCAUGGGGGAGCAGCUGCCAGGAUCUGCCCUUGUGUCAGCUCAGCCCUCAGACAUAAACCGCCGUCAGGAAGUGGAUGUUCCCAGUGGUAUCAUGAGGAAAGAAAUGACAGAGGGAGCCUCUGGAAGAAGAAAGAAAUGACUUGGGGAUACCUCUGGAGCAAAGCCCCAGGCUGCCAGAGUUGUUGCAAGGUCUGACUGCCCUGAGGGUGCAGAGGGUGGAGAGGCUCCGGUAGAGCCACAAAUCCCAGCCAUCCUCUGUGGUCAGUGAGAAAUACCAAAUAGUAACUGUACAAAGUUCCAGCCUCUACAUAGUUUUCUCUCAGUAGAAAAUAACCUGGCUCUUGGCAAAGAAAAAUGUACUGACCUGUUUUAAUCAUCUGUAAAUGUUUUCACGACAAAGCAACAGUUACAGUAGCCAGCACUUGUUCUUUGUAAGUAGGGUAGCAGAUGUCAGGAAACCAACAUCUUUAAUAGCAAUCUGCAAUGUGAUGUUUGAAUUCCUGACUGCAAAUUCAGCUUAAGGUCUCUGUAAUACUCCUAAAAUAUACUUCAGUUAGGAACAUCAUUCAGCAUCGUACUUUCUGCUCAGAUCUGAGAGUACUUUUUAAUACUUGCUUUUUGUUACAUUCAUAAAAAUAGUAAUUAAGCAUCAAUGGGUCCUUUAUAAUACAGGACUCUUGGAUCACUUCACUAAAUUACUCAGUACAACUAAUUGCCCAGCACUGCACAAGGCCCAAUUUCUGUUUCAGAGGCCUUCUCUGUAAACCCCCAGUGAGACUGAGAUAUCUCCUCAUCUGGUAUCCCAAUACGUAAGGUGUAAGAUUGUGACUCUCAAUAGACUUGAUCUUUUUCCUCCUAGAUCCUAUGCAUGUCUAUGGGCAGGCCCAGGUCUUCCUGGAAGACCUCAGAACUGGGCCCUGGGGUCGCUCUGGCUGUCACACUCAUCCAGGCCCACUGCUGCGGCCUCUCACAGUCUGUGACAUCUACAUGGACAUACUGUCUGCCUUUCCACGUGAACAGAGCGUCUUCAUUACUCAUUACUGGAAAUCUCAGUAUUUGAUCAGAAAUUGCUAAUAUGAAUUAAAUAUGCCAACUUCAAACAGCACACCUGUUUCCACUUCUUACUUCUCCAAAUCACCUGUCGAACUCUACAAGAGAUUUUGUUUUUCUAAGCACAUAUUCUAGCCAGUUAAACCACCACCACUGAGACAUUUUGCAGGUUGGAUGGUUUUAAUUGGUUUUCCAAACUUUAAUCUUAAAAAGAUUUUUUCUUUAGAAUAUGCUUUUUCUUGCUUAUUUGGUUCAUAAACUUUUUUGAGGCAGAGACUGCCCAUGCUAUGGACUUGUAUAGUAUAUAAUAUCCAGUUUUGGAAGAGCCAUUUUAGUAUCAUUAUAAUGCCAAGCAGUAAAUAAGGAGUGAACAGUUAUUUUCUGAGCAUAUGUAUCAAUGCCAUUCCUUCAAGUGCUCUCAAGAAUCAUUUAUUUCUUCUGCAUUGUUCUUGCUGUUACAGCUACCUAACAGCCCUCCAAGAAAGGACAGGUAUGGAGGCCAGGCCAUGGUUCCACUGGGUGGUAAAUCUGGCUUCAGGGUACUUAAAUACAGAUUAGAAAAGUUACCAGCAUGAAUUAUAAAAAAUACAAGUCUGGUGCAAACUCAUCCGACCUAAUAAUUUAACAUUGUUUUAAAGCAGUAGCUUUAUUUAUUUAUUUAUUUAUUUAUUCAUUCAUUUAUUUAUUUAUUUAUUUAUUUUCUGGCCAGCUUUAUAAUGGACAUGAUGAUUUCAUUUUAUUUAUUUAUUUAUUUUGCUUGCAAUCAACUUACAGUAAGCUAAAAGCACAAAAUUUCUUUAACACUAUAUCCCACACUCCUGGUAGUUCAGAAGAAACAGAAGCACAUUGGUGCACACACAUUUGAUUCAGAUUAAAAUUGUAUUGUCAGUUGACCCAGUAACGCAUAUAGCUGGCAUUAAUGAAAGGAAAGCCUCAGCUGUUGAA